This is a non-coding RNA of Arachis ipaensis, 1668 nucleotides long. The record is from RefSeq and is a predicted model, not a curated record. Lineage: Eukaryota; Viridiplantae; Streptophyta; Magnoliopsida; Fabales; Fabaceae.
UUAAAAUCUUUAUUAAAUAAAUAAAUUGAAGUUGGCUCAUAAUAAGAUUUUCCAAAAAUUCUAAGUCUUACAUAUUGCGAAACCAAGUAAUAAUUUGAUGAUUCUUACUAUCCCAGUCCUCCGAUUUUUCGGCAAAAUCCUUGUUAGCAUCAAAAGAUUCAUAACAAGGUUCUGAGAAUCGGACCGGUCAUCAAACCGCUCUAGUCACUGGUUCACUGAUUUAUUGGUCCAACCGGUUCAACCGGUGGUUCAACCAAAAAAACCGUUUUAGAAUAAAAUAAUAAACAAAUUAUAAAUAUGCAAGUAUUAAGUUGAGGGUAUAGGGUAGUAUGAAAUUUUUCCAAUAGAUACAAUUCCUCAUCAGUACACAAAAUGUUAAAAGAAAUAUCUCACAAGAAUAGGGAGAAUAUCAAAUGAAUUAUCCUAAAUCCAACUGAAAAAAAUAAACAUAGUACUUGGAUAAACAAAUUUGAUAACAUUAUUAAUAACAAAGUUGGCAGUGGACUACUGCUAGAAAGACUUCACCAAAUGAAAGAGCAUGCAGGCUUUGAGAGACAAUAGACUUGGAUUUGUGCAGCAGCAUUUUGGAUGAGUUGCUUUGAGGACCAUUUGGCGAAACUAAGCUUUCUUGGUGAAACUAAGUGCUCAUAACAAACUAAGAUUUCUUGGUGAAACUAAGUGCUCAUAACAAACAGAAACAGUUUCUCAAGAUACAUAAAUAAGUGCUCAUCCUCUGAAAAUAAUCAUCUGAAUUGGUACAAGGCAGGAAAAAAUGACCAUAAAUCUCUUUACCCAAGUCAAAAUAAACAACUAUAUCUGAACUCAACAAUCAGCCUUCAGCACCAAACAUUACAAAACAUUAACCAAUAAUCACACUAAACCUGCAACCAGCAAUUACAAAACAUCAACUACAAAACAACAACAAACAUUGUACAUUAUAAAACAUUCCAAAAUCAGUGAUGACACUAAACCUGCACCCAGCAACCAGCAAUUACAAAACAGCAACAAACAUACAAAACAUUACAAAAUAUUACAAGAAAAUUUGAACAAAAAUUUCAGAAAUUAAAAGAAAGAAGAAGAACCGAGCAUUCAGAAAUUAAACAAAUAAGUAACUAUUUCAACAAAUCAGUAACUAUUUCAACAACAAAUUAAAUACCAACAGCAGCAAUGCAGCAUAACAAAUCACUGAUCGCAAAUUUCAAAUUCAAAACACUGAUCACAAAUUAAUUAAUUUCAGAUUCAAAAAUCACAAAUCACUCAUCAGACAUUCAAAAUCAAAUUCAUAACACUGAAACAGCUCAAAAUAAAAAACAAAUUUCUUGAUUUUAGCUAAAUAAUUUUUGGUAGAAAGACUCGGUUUCUUCACACUUUUUAUUCUUGAAUUGUCUCAAUUUUGUUUUGUUUGAACUUUGAAGCAAUGAAGUGCUGCUACAACUUGAAUAUUGCUACAACUUGAAUAUUUGAAUAGAGAGGAAUGCUAGGAGGCCAGCAAUUUUUGUAAUUUGUAGCCAUCAAAUAGCCAUCAAUGAUGAUUUUAAUAGUGUGAGAUUGGUGUGAGAUUUCAUCCAAUGGCUCACUUUGUUUUGCUGGCUACAUGCUGGCUAGAAUUUGACAAAGUUGCUGGCCCCUAGACUUUUUCUUGACUAAAUGCUUAAAAGACUGAAUACC